RNAcentral lists this ribosomal RNA (301 nucleotides) under uncultured bacterium. Its description in RNAcentral is "partial 16S ribosomal RNA". It matches the Rfam family "Bacterial small subunit ribosomal RNA", at positions 509 to 807 of the family's 1533-position model. The record is from RNAcentral.
CAGUAGCCACGGUAAUACGUAGGUGGCAAGCGUUGUCCGGAAUUAUUGGGCGUAAAGGGCUCGCAGGCGGUUUCUUAAGUCUGAUGUGAAAGCCCCCAGCUCAACCGGGGAGGGUCAUUGGAAACUGGGAAACUUGAGUGCAGAAGAGGAGAGUGGAAUUCCACGUGUAGCGGUGAAAUGCGUAGAGAUGUGGAGGAACACCAGUGGCGAAGGCGACUCUCUGGUCUGUAACUGACGCUGAGGAGCGAAAGCGUGGGGAGCGAACAGGAUUAGAUACCCCAGUAGUCCCUGUCUCUUAUAC